GACCUAGUGGCGAAGGCAUCGCACCUGCCUACAGUGGAAUGCCAGUGUCAUGUACCGGCAGGAGGCACUGGUUCGACUCCAGGCUAGGUCU
Non-coding RNA from Mycena vulgaris, 91 nucleotides. Lineage: Eukaryota; Fungi; Basidiomycota; Agaricomycetes; Agaricales; Mycenaceae. The record is from the annotation of a GenBank genome assembly.